CGCGCCGCUUUCUUCCCCCGCCGGCUGCCCGGGUCCGCUGGGAGGGCGGCGUCGGCACGGAGGAGAGGAUGACUGAGUCCUGAAACCUCGCCCGGUUGGGUUCAGCCCCUGGCCUCUCCUCUCCGCUAAGUUUCUCUUUGAAUCCGGCUGCGGGAAUGAUUCUCUCUGGGGUCCGCAGGCAGCUGGAUAUUCUGGGAGAGGAGCGGUAACACCGGUGAGGUCCUGCGCUGGGUAGUGGUGGUUCCCCGCCCACAGUGGGGAGGAGAGGUGGGGGACUUGUGAUUCUUCGCAGGGGAGAGAAGAAGAGCUCAUUCUUUUUCCCUUGAAAAAGAAGCCAAGUCCACAUGGCUCAGUGCCUUCACAUCGUGCAGCCAUCACCACUGUCCUGGUCCAUGCAGGCUGCUCAUGACUCAUUCACAGAACACCACAGUUCAGGAGGCUGGGAAUUCCCAGAUCAAGAUGCCAACACGGCUGGGUUCUGGGAGAGUGUUUGGGGCUGAAAAAUCUCUGGACCUACUCCCCAACACUCAGUGGCUGGCAUUCCAUGACCUAAGGGGCGGCCUGUCUGAAAGAAAGACAGUGCCCCAAGCCCUACUUUGAAAAAUGCUGCCAGUCGUAGCAGAAUUGGCCCUGCUGCUGUCUGUGACCAAGAGGAGACUUUCCUGAAACACCAGGGGCAAACUGGCCCCCAGAUAGAUCUUCAGCUCUAACCACCGGAGAAAGCAACCCUGGUAAGUUCCAUGGAAGGAGCACAGGACGAGGA
Long non-coding RNA from Equus quagga, 763 nucleotides. RefSeq lists it as uncharacterized. Lineage: Eukaryota; Metazoa; Chordata; Mammalia; Perissodactyla; Equidae. The record is from RefSeq and is a predicted model, not a curated record. The transcript has 3 exons.